This is a non-coding RNA of Xyrichtys novacula (pearly razorfish), 1089 nucleotides long. NCBI's taxonomy places the organism in Eukaryota, Metazoa, Chordata, Actinopteri, Labriformes, Labridae. The record is from the annotation of a GenBank genome assembly.
GCGGAGCUCUCUUUCACUCUCUCUCUCUCCAUUGCUCACACACUCUCCCUCUCUUUAACGCUCACGUACACCUCCCUCUUCAAUUCCUCUGAUGCUUCCCUUCUUAAUCUACCACUCUGUGCAAGAGGAGCAAAAGGUAAAUAUCAGUAAAUAACUUGCUUUCUUGUAUCCUUCUGUACAUCAUUUCCCCAUUCACUGCUUUAGUAUUCUGCUUUAAACAAAGCUCACCCUCCCCGUCAACAAAGAUUACAGAGGAAUGAACUGACAGUCAUUUAAGGAAUAGCCGGAGCAGCUCUAAAUCAAAGUCAGCGCUCCCUCCUCACAUUGCAUUGAUUUCGUUUCCUUUUCCUGUAUUUAAUUUCUCAGUAUCUCAUAGUCUUGCUGUGAGUCCAUCUGUAGAGGAUUGCUGGGCUGCACAGGGAUACCGUCAUCACCACAGCCAAUCACGCAAUCACUCUCACACACACACACGUACACACACACACCAGGAAACCAGUAGAAAUUUAAAAAAAAAACUAAAACAUGCAUGAGGGAAAAAAACUGCCUCUUCUUCCUCCCCCCUCCCUCUUUACUCCCCUCUCCCUCUCUUGUGUUUAGGCGCUGCAGCAGACAGGAUUGGUACCCUUGCAAGGAUGUUGGUGCAGUGUGCCUGUGUAUGUCAGAGAGAGGCUGUGAGCAGUCGGUGGUUAUUCCAUACUGUUGGCUCAUCAGUUACUGAGAAGUGUGAUCCAAUACCAUCACCAAAGCUCUGUCUGCUUCAUUGACUUCUUCUUCUUCUGGUAUCCCACCCUUCUUUCCCCCCUCUGACCUGCACACAACAAAAGACCAAGGGCUGGUUAUAAACAGUUGUGUUACAGUAAAAAUAGCUUCUACGCUCAUGAAGAAUGUAUGUCUGGAUAUGUGCGCAGUGAAAAAGAGGUGAAUAGAGAAAGAGGUGCUGAUGGAGUCGGCACCUGUUUACUGGUAUUGCUUUGCCUCUCUCUCCCCCCUCUCCUCUACCCUACCCCCCUCUCCUCCCUGCGAUGCUGCUGACGCAGGCAAAAAAUAUCCUCUAACAUCUCUCUUUGCCCGACUCACUAUACAUCACAC